AGUAAAAUGCCUGAAUUUGAAAGGAAUAUCUUGAUAGGAUAAAUAAUGUAAUUUCUUAUUACUUUUACUA
This 70-nucleotide transfer RNA is filed under the name Amblyomma testudinarium. RNAcentral describes it as "tRNA-Ile". Lineage: Eukaryota; Metazoa; Arthropoda; Arachnida; Ixodida; Ixodidae. RNAcentral also lists the same sequence under 1 other name. The record is from RNAcentral.